UAGAAAUGGGACGCUGCACUUCCGCUUAGCGCACAUGUCCUCGCACGCCUUUUCCAAUCCCGCCUUUCUUCCAUCCAAUGGCGCCUGUUUUUCUUUUUCCAGACUCCCUCUUGUUCUUCUCCAACAAAUUCUCCUCUCUCUCUCUCUCUCUCUCUCUCUCUCUCUCACCUGUUUAUUCUGUGUUAGUGGCGAUUGGGUUAGGGUUGAUAACAGUUACUGUUCACAUUUUCCCCAUCUCCUUCACCUCCUUCACGCACAUAGUACCCAAACACCGACAUUGCCUUCCUCAGACAUCUAUGACUCUCAAGAAAAUCUUUUAGUUUUUAGAAUUCCAACCUCCAAAUAUAUUUCUUAGAAUCCUAAUUUUAAUUUUAACUAUUUUAAUUUUUUGUGUUCAUUCUCUCUCACGACGGCCUUCCUUGCCCGCCAAUCUAAGAGGUAGAGUGACGGGCCUGGCUCUGUCUUGGGCCUGUUUCCCUGGUACUUGGGUCUGUUACUCCAUUUUUCUGUUGCAGUAUUUCAGCUUUUGUUGUUGUUUGGGAUCGUGAUCUGCUUUUCCGUAGACUGGUUUUGGCAUCGACGGCUCCCUCUCUCUCGCCGGCGCUCUCUUUCUUGCUCUCUCUCUCUCUCUCUCUCUGGCUGGCUGGCUCGUUCUCGCACUCUCUAUGGCUCGCUCGUUCUCGCACUCUCUGUUCAUGAGAGCCUCCCUUCCUCCAUUCCAUAGAGAUGAGUUUGUUCCUCAAAAGGAAGGGAGUUGUCAGUUGAGUACUUGGAAAAUGACAUUGACAUCUUCCAGAGUGUGAAUGAUUGGGUUGGUAUUGUAAUUUUCAAGUUCUGAGAUAUCUGAAAUAAAAUUGAUAGCGUGUCAAACAUGAUUAUUGUUCAAUGUGCGGAUCUUUUUUCAUACUUGCUGCGGUGAAUUCUGUGGACAAUCUCUUUGGGAGGACUGGAAUACUAGAAAAGAAACUAUAUCUGAUAUUAUUGUUCUGCCAUAUAAACCGGAAGAAAGACUAACACUUGUGCAGCAGGAGCCUUUAGAGAAAGGGUCAACCAUCACACAUGUUCCUAAUAGGAAAGGAACGUUGAGCAUUGCAAACUAUCUCUGUAGGUGUGGCGUGAAGGCUGCUCCCUAUAAUGUAGCGGUAAGUCAUGGAUUAUAACAGUUUUUUCAUGUACAUAAUGUAUGCCGAUGACAGAUUCUUUUUUAUUGUCAUAUUGCCAACUCAUUGAGUUCCACUCAUUAUCCAAUUGCUAACUUAAAGAUGAUUCAUGCUGCCAUCAAAAUCUAUCUCUUGUUUGCCACCAAAAUAUGUUUCAUAUACGCUUCAAAAGGAUUUACUAGAGCUUCAACAUCGUGUCAUUUACUAUUCACUAAAGCUUCAUAAAUAAUUUUUUUAUUUUUUUACUAAGAAGUCUUCAUUACUAUUUUAUAAAUUUUUCAGACGAACUCAAAAGAUGUACAAAGUGUUGCAAGCAGUUUGUGUAUUUUCAUGUUAUUUAAUGAAUUAUUCUGAUUUUUGGAAGUUAGAGUAUACAAAAAUAGUAACAAACGUAAGAGAAUGACAAAUGGUGACACUUGAAUUGUGCGUCGUCAGAGUUUCCGACAGGUGUUAGUAUCGCGUAGCUCUACGUGUCAUCAGGUUCAUUUUUGUAUCUUUAACUUAAAAAAUUCACAAACAAUGAAUAAAAAAUGAAAAAAAUGGACCGAAAUUUCUUAAAAAACUCCUUGCAACACUAUCUUCGACUAUGAUGUGUGAUAAUAAAAUUUUGGCCUUGGAAAAUUUGAAGUAAUUAUUGGAGGAAGAGUUGUUGUAAAGGAGAGUAAUGAUUUUCAACAUAGUAUUAUUGUUAGCAUCAAAACAAACUUGACUUCGAGAAAUUAUUUGAAUUUUACAUGUCAAAAUUAUAUUUUAAAGCUUAGCCGCGGUAGAUGUUAGAGUUUACGGUAUGAAGCAAUAGACAUUAGAGUUUAUAGGGAUGAAGCAGGUGAAGGAGUUGAGUCUUAUUCAAUCUGUCUCCACUGAUAAUAGCUCUGUCAAUGAGUUGUCAAGCUGCCAUUGUGCUGCUGGUUUUGCAUCAGUGGAUUUUAUUAUUUGGAACUUAAUAACUGAGACCAAGGUAGAGUCUUUUCCUGUACCUCAGACUGCUUACUGAAAUGAUUUGUAAGUUGUUUGUGUUAUUUAUUUUGAUGCCUAAGGACCCAUAUUUUGUUGCCGGUUGUGCAAAUUCCAUGCGGUGGAUGGAGUCGUCCUCAUUCCUAUUAUCUUGGUGAUGUACCAGAAAUAAAGAACUGCUUUGCAUAUGUUAAGGAUGAAAUCAUUUAUAUUCAUAGGCAGUGGGUGCUUGAUGGUGAAAGGAAGGUACUCUCCAGGAAUUUGCAUAUGCAAUUCCAUGGGAGAGGCAUUCCAUAUGCUUUGUCUCAGAAGGAUUUCAACCUGGAGUAUAUGGGAAGCACAACCUCUUCUCUGCGUCUAGUUGGAUCGCAACUGGUUGUGAAGAUAGAACUGUGAGGUUGACUAGGUAUAUGCCAGGUGUUGAGAAUUGGUCUGCAUCAAAAUUACUUGGGGAGCAUGUUGGUGGAUCAGCCGUGAGAUCAAUAUGCUCUGUGUCAAAGAUAAGCAUAGUUACGUCAGAUGUGACCAACAUACCCGAUAUGAGAAAUGGACAAAAUGCAGCAAUGGAGAACAUAGAAACUCCGGGUUCGUUGAUUUCUGUUGGUGCAAAGCGGGUAUUGACUUCUUGGCUACUAAGUAGGAAGGUAGACAAGAAGGAAGAACAACAUAACAUCACUGGAAAUAGCAAUAAAUACUUCAAAAGGAUUCACUAGAGCUUCAAUAUCGCAUGAUUUACUAUUCACUAAAGCUUCAUAAAUAUAUAUUUUUUUACUAAGAAGUUUGUGGGAUU
Molecule: long non-coding RNA, 2904 nt
Organism: Prunus avium (sweet cherry)
Lineage: Eukaryota; Viridiplantae; Streptophyta; Magnoliopsida; Rosales; Rosaceae
Source: RefSeq, a predicted model, not a curated record